AUUGAGCCAAGAAGAAACUUGUAUUGCACAAAGAGAGAUUACAGUGCUUGUUGGAUACAAAUGCUUAAUGCCAUCCCAUAUUUAUAGGGGAGGCUUCACCUAACUUUACCUAACUUCACCUAACUUCACCUAACUUUGCCAAACUUGGUCAAACUCAUGUGCUGGAAUUGUAUAAAGUAUUCUAGAAUAUUUACAUGUUCACAUGUGCUAGAGUUGCCUAGAACCUUCCGGAAUUGGGCCAAGCUAGCACUCUUGGCCUUGUGUUGGCUCUCUAGCCCGAAAUUGUGGGCAAUUGGGCUAGCGAAUUGGGCGGUCCGCAACA
Molecule: long non-coding RNA, 322 nt
Filed under: Citrus sinensis (sweet orange)
Lineage: Eukaryota; Viridiplantae; Streptophyta; Magnoliopsida; Sapindales; Rutaceae
Description: long non-coding RNA (CSIN_LNC003659)
Source: RNAcentral